CAUAUCAAAAAGCAAGUGGGUGUGAUCCUUAAACUUGAUUUUGAAAAAGCCUACGACAAAGUUAAUUGGGAUUUUUUGCUUGACUGCCAUGAGAAGCGUGGGUUUAACUCUAAGUGGUGUGGGUGGGUUUCUCAAAUCCUUAAGAAUGGUACGGUGAGUGUCAAAAUUAACGAUGAGACCGGCCCUUAUAUACAAAGUGCUAAGGGGGUACGGCAGGGUGACCCUCAUCCCCCCUUUCUGUUUAACAUUGCGGCUGAAUGCCUGACUAAAAUGGUGCUUUCAGCACAAAAACGGACUCAUUAA
RNAcentral lists this ribosomal RNA (303 nucleotides) under Triticum aestivum (bread wheat). Its description in RNAcentral is "partial small subunit ribosomal RNA". Lineage: Eukaryota; Viridiplantae; Streptophyta; Magnoliopsida; Poales; Poaceae. The record is from RNAcentral.